RNAcentral lists this ribosomal RNA (501 nucleotides) under uncultured bacterium. RNAcentral describes it as "partial 16S ribosomal RNA". It matches the Rfam family "Bacterial small subunit ribosomal RNA", at positions 30 to 523 of the family's 1533-position model. The record is from RNAcentral.
AUUGAACGCUGGCGGCAUGCCUUACACAUGCAAGUCGAACGGCAGCACGGGUGCUUGCACCUGGUGGCGAGUGGCGAACGGGUGAGUAAUAUAUCGGAACGUACCUUAUUGUGGGGGAUAACGCAGCGAAAGCUGUGCUAAUACCGCAUAAUCCCCAAGGGGGAAAGCGGGGGACCGUAAGGCCUCGCGCAAUUAGAGCGGCCGAUACCUGAUUAGCUAGUUGGUGAGGUAAAGGCUCACCAAGGCAACGAUCAGUAGCUGGUCUGAGAGGACGAUCAGCCACACUGGGACUGAGACACGGCCCAGACUCCUACGGGAGGCAGCAGUGGGGAAUUUUGGACAAUGGGGGCAACCCUGAUCCAGCAAUGCCGCGUGAGUGAAGAAGGCCUUCGGGUUGUAAAGCUCUUUUGUCAGGGAAGAAACAGCAGCUCUAACACUGUUUGCGAAUGACGGUACCUGAAGAAUAAGCACCGGCUAACUACGUGCCAGCAGCCGCCGUAA